This is a long non-coding RNA of Oncorhynchus gorbuscha (pink salmon), 1396 nucleotides long. RefSeq lists it as uncharacterized. NCBI's taxonomy places the organism in Eukaryota, Metazoa, Chordata, Actinopteri, Salmoniformes, Salmonidae. The transcript is spliced from 4 exons. The record is from RefSeq and is a predicted model, not a curated record.
UGUGGGUCGGGGUGUUCCUUCCUUCUUAUAGAAGUUUGCGAGAUAGGUCAAAAAAAUGAAUUCAUCUUCAACCUAGGAAGUUUGGCCUGUGAAGUUUUCAUAAAACUACUCUUAUUUACAUCUCUAUGUAAUCGUAUACCAUAUCUUCAUACCACUUUUUUAUAUUAGGUAGUAAUGCGAUUCUUGAUUAGCAACUUGAAAUUAGCAACUUGUGUCAUUUUGAUAUCCUUAGCUGAGACGCUAGUUGAUGUCGUCAUCACGCAGCAGGCACGUAAUGAUAAAAUCGUCAACAUCCGAUUCAGGAGCGGGGCAUGGCUUUUUGCGAUUAUUUUCCAAGAGAUCACAGCCAUGACUCCAUUGAGAGAUGGGAUGAGACUUCGGGCCCUGACGAUAUAUCGGAAGCGUCCCAGGAGAUAACGGAGGAUUCUUCAGACUUAUCAGACGGCCCUGAUGAAUUGUUUGACAUCAAACAGAUUUAGAAUACGUUGACGAAGAAGAAGAGUUACCUGGAACUUCACAAGCUAUGAGAGGAAAAGCAUCUUCAAAGUCACUGCUGCCAGAGAAACAGUCACCUCAUGUCUUGGUGGAUGAGUCUGGUGACAGCUCUGACGAUGAGCCAUUGGUUAAGAUGUUCAGCAAGCCUCCAACAGACUGCCAGCUGAGCGAGAGAGUGAAGGCACUGCUGAAAUACACAGACAUGGCGGAUGUGACAAUGAAGCAAAUCUACAAUAGAGUAAGAGGACAUAUAUCCAACGUUAUUAACAUUUCCAGAUCUAAUUUAAAAUCACAUGCUGCACACCAGAUUAUGUAAUCCUUCUCUCCGGAUGAUGUUAUCAAAAACACUUAUCUUCUAUCAUUUUUUACUCCAAAACAGAAAUCUGCUGUUGGGGUGGUGCUGGAGAUAUGUUAAUGUUGGGGUGGUGCUAGAUAUGAUAUGUUAAUGUUGGGGUGGUGCUAGAUAUGGUAUGUUCAUGUUGGGGUGGUGCUGGAGAUGAUGAAUUUGAUGUUGAAAAAGGGUGGAAUUGUCCUUAAAAUAUUUUUGUGUAAUCAUUAUCUUCCAUUGUGUGAUCUCUCUUAGGUGUUUGAGAGGUGCCCCCAGUAUGACCUGUCUAACAAGAAGGACAUCAUCAAGCAGACAGUGAAAGAGGGGAUCUCUUUACAACCCAGGGUUUUAAUCAAGCCAUAUUCAUAGCUUUGACAGAUAACAUUAUAAUCAAUGAUCUCAGGAAAACAUAGUUGAUAUCGUGACAAAGACUCUGGGAUUCCUGUAUAUGCCUUUCCAGGACGUUUAAUUUAUAUUUUUUUAAGUUCAGACUGUUUAAAUACUAUACAAUUUCAUGCAACUUAUUUGUUUUACUUGCCUAAGUUUUGUAAAUAAAGUAUAUAUUGUACUGUA